Long non-coding RNA from Engraulis encrasicolus (European anchovy), 538 nucleotides. RefSeq lists it as uncharacterized. The record is from RefSeq and is a predicted model, not a curated record. The transcript has 3 exons. NCBI's taxonomy places the organism in Eukaryota, Metazoa, Chordata, Actinopteri, Clupeiformes, Engraulidae.
AAAGCAAAGCACCAGUGGCAUGUUUGUCUACAGGACAAUUCACAAGUGUCUACGCAGGUUGUCAAUUUUAAUUAGAUUGUCUCGAGCACAGAACGUUUUUUUUUGCGCAAAUCCUGUUGCUAUCUGAACCCACCGUUAGCUAACCUUGAAAUGGAGGACCACAACAAGACACAGAAGCAAGGUUCCUCUGCCUCCCAGCGACAAGCUGCUGGGCCCAGGCCUUUCCAGGGUUGUUUCAACCCACCCGCUGAUCUCAUUAAUCUGUCGAUACCCAACAUUAGGCCUAUUGUUGGACAGGCGUCUUCUGGUCAAAUGGACUACAGAAUCCCCUCCACCAAACACCUGCACACUUCAAGACCAGGAGCAAGAUCACCUCAAAUUUAAACAAGUGAAUGAGGAGAGCGGGCCAGUGUGUGCACACCAGAAGCUCUGCUGCAAUACUUGGUCAACGCUUGUGAAGCAACUCUCUCUCAAGAUUGGACUCUUACUGAAACCUUGAUGUUUCUCUUCUUCAAUAAAUAAUACGCUGUCCAAUUUC